Long non-coding RNA from Acipenser ruthenus (sterlet), 3269 nucleotides. RefSeq lists it as uncharacterized. The record is from RefSeq and is a predicted model, not a curated record. NCBI's taxonomy places the organism in Eukaryota, Metazoa, Chordata, Actinopteri, Acipenseriformes, Acipenseridae. The transcript is spliced from 2 exons.
AAAAAAAAAUGUGUUCUAGAAAGUUCUAGAAAUGCGUUCGAGUCCAUCUGUGCCCUUGCCCUGUAAUAACCUGUACUGCUUGUAUAAUUUGUUUCUGUACUGUUUAUCUAACUUGUUUUCGUGCUGCUCAACUAACUUGUUUUUGUAUCGCUUAUCUAUCUUGUUUGUCUCAGAAUGUUAUGGGAAAAGGGAUAGCUUACAGAAAUGAUUCACAGGGCGAGCCUCGAGAAAGUGAUCUGGCCAAUUACUCUCUCGCACGCGGAAGCCUAACUUGGUAAGCUAUAAAGGACGGGUUCCCCCCCCUGCUCUGGUGAGAGUCAGCCGUGAGGAUUUGCGCAGUCCUGCUCGGUAGUUUUGGAGACAGCUGCUUUCUCUUGCCAGGGUCGAGGGGCUCUCCCGAUCUGCUUGGAAGGGCAAGGAUUAGUUCAGCUGCGUCUCUAUGAGUAUUGAUCUGUGAACCUUUGUUGAGGAGAGUCAGCCGUGAGGAUUUGCGCAGUCCUGCUCGGUAGUUUUGGAGACAGCUGCUUUCUCUUGCCAGGGUCGAGGGGCUCUCCCGAUCUGCUUGGAAGGGUCCCGAGAUAAUACUGAUGGCGUUUAGGUGGAAUGGAAGCACAGUGCUGUUCAUCGGAACUGAGAGGACCAUUUCAGAAGAGUUUGUGCAGAAAGUUCCAGUACACUUGUGGGACAAUUUGGAUAUGCAAACAGUAACUGUACAUAUUAACCUGCAUAACUUUACAAUGCUUGUCCAUGAUAUGUAGUAAUUAAGCUCUACCAUAUAUCUGGAACAAGAGUGUAAGUUGCUGAGAGACGGUCAUGAGGAAGUAUCUGAAACCACAGAGACAUUCUUACAUAUGGGGAACCAUUCCGGUCUGCAUAUCAAAAGAAGAAAUAUUUAUGAUGACGUUAAAGUGACAUUUUUGGGGAUGUAAUGGGGACUGUUAAUUUCAGUUAACACAAAAAUGCAAUAUACACACAUUUCUUUGAUAUACUGUACCGAUAAAUUAGAAACUAAACUAUGUAAAAAAUACAACAAAACACAGUACAUUUUUGGGGAUGUAAUGGGGACUGUUAAUUUCAGUUAACAUACCUGAUAAUGAAACUACGUAUUAUAAACUUGGGGUAUAGAUGUAUGAUUGGUGAAAAGAUUUGUCUUAGUUUAAAGAUACUAAAGGUAAUAUGUCAGCGAUCCUGGAGUGCAGAGAUGGGAAGGUCUCAUGUAAUUUAUUACUAAUCACAUUCAGUAAAAUAACAAAAACUGCAAAGGUUGUAAAAUUGCCCUCUAGAGGCACUGGGAGUAUGGAGUUUGUGUUGUUCAUGACACUUAAGAGUGGUAUUGUUAAGACAUUGUAUCUGCCAUCCAUGUUAGGGAGGUAAAAUGGUUGGCGUCUUGCAAUGGAUUAUUUGGAGUGUUGUUAGGAACAUAAUACUAUAUUAAUAUGUACUUGUAAUGUAAUGGGACAUCCUAUGUUGAAUGGAAAUACCAAUUGAAAACAGCUGUUCUACUGAAAAAUAUGGUAAUGUAUAAGUUCACAAAUCUAACUGUUAUGUUUGAACAGCAUUGCAAGCAACACACCAAUAUCCAGAAUUGGCUUCAAAGGGAAAUAGGUAGUACAAUAAAAGAUUACAAAGAGCGAAUAGCCAAACGAAUGUGUGAAGGUAAUGAGAAUGUGUGAAGGUAAUGAGAAACGUAGUAAGAGGGGGCUUUUUGAUGAAAUAGCAGGCUGGUUUGGUGCAGGAAAUUCUGUUGCAAACAGCUGGGAUAUUUAUCAAAUGUCAAAAGGGCAAACUUGGAUAGCAAGUACUGUGGGAGAAGGAAUAGAAAGAUUGGGGAAUGGACAGAUGUAUGUAAACCAAGGGAUUAGGCUCCAGGGUACAGCUAUAUAUGAGCUAAUGGAUGGAACAGAGGGAGCCCUGCGCAAUUUGACCAAAGCAAUAGAUUGUAGAAUAUUUGCGGGUGACCUUUUAAAAACAAUGAAGGAAGAAAUAAUGGAGACAUGAGCCGUUGAGGGAAAUUUUGCACGAAGUUGGCCCUCAUAAAUUAUGUAUAAGUACGGUGCAUGCCCAUCCACAACUUACUUAUGUGCCUUAUUCUGGGUGUUUAUCAGACAUAUAUCUUUGGCAUUGGGGAAAUGGUACUUAUUUGUUAACCAAUCAUUCCCAGCAAGAGCUUCUCACUAGGAUCCAGUGGGAGGUUCUUCAUUCAGGAAUUCACAUUUCCCUGCAAAAACAUCAAGAAUUGCUGAAUCAAUCGUCUGAAUUAGUUGACCUAGCAAAACAACAUCAACACAAUGCUACUGUAUUAAAAAUUAAAACGAUAAUGGCACAAAAUACAAUCUUAGGGUUAGGGAAAGUUAUUGAACGUAAUGCACAAGAUGCGUGGUGGUCCAUAUUUGAGGGAUGGUCACCAAAGGCUAAAGGAGUAUUAAAUAUAUUAAUCCACCCCAUCUUAAUAUUAUUGGGGAUUGUAUUUCUUUUAUGUGUAUGGCAAAUAUGUUUAUGUAUCUAUCUUCGCAGAAUUACACAGCGAACAAUGUAUUUGGCAGUGCACAGAUGAAUCUCGACCGAAGGACCGAAUGAAAUAAAAAAAAUGUGUUCUAGAAAGUUCUAGAAAUGCGUUCGAGUCCAUCUGUGCCCUUGCCCUGUAAUAACCUGUACUGCUUGUAUAAUUUGUUUCUGUACUGUUUAUCUAACUUGUUUUCGUGCUGCUCAACUAACUUGUUUUUGUAUCGCUUAUCUAUCUUGUUUGUCUCAGAAUGUUAUGGGAAAAGGGAUAGCUUACAGAAAUGAUUCACAGGGCGAGCCUCGAGAAAGUGAUCUGGCCAAUUACUCUCUCGCACGCGGAAGCCUAACUUGGUAAGCUAUAAAGGACGGGUUCCCCCCCCUGCUCUGGUGAGAGUCAGCCGUGAGGAUUUGCGCAGUCCUGCUCGGUAGUUUUGGAGACAGCUGCUUUCUCUUGCCAGGGUCGAGGGGCUCUCCCGAUCUGCUUGGAAGGGCAAGGAUUAGUUCAGUUGCGUCUCUAUGAGUAUUGAUCUGUGAACCUUUGUUGAGGAGAGUCAGCCGUGAGGAUUUGCGCAGUCCUGCUCGGUAGUUUUGGAGACAGCUGCUUUCUCUUGCCAGGGUCGAGGGGCUCUCCCGAUCUGCUUGGAAGGGUAAGGAUUAGUUCAGUUGCGUCUCUAUGAGUAUAUUAUAUCUCUGAUUAAUAUAUUCUUGUAUGUGUGUUUGUCUAUUAUUGUAUCAAGGGUGUGAAAUAAAGCGGACCUUAUUUGGAA